GCGCUCGUGGUGAAAUUGGUAGACACGCUGUCUUCAGGCGGCAGUGCCGUAAGGUGUGGAGGUUCGAAUCCUCUCGAGCGCACUA
Molecule: transfer RNA, 85 nt
Filed under: Sinomicrobium oceani
Lineage: Bacteria; Pseudomonadati; Bacteroidota; Flavobacteriia; Flavobacteriales; Flavobacteriaceae
Description: tRNA_Leu_CAG
Rfam family: tRNA
About the family: Transfer RNA (tRNA) molecules are approximately 80 nucleotides in length.
Source: RNAcentral